Long non-coding RNA from Neopsephotus bourkii (Bourke's parrot), 457 nucleotides. RefSeq lists it as uncharacterized. The transcript has 4 exons. Lineage: Eukaryota; Metazoa; Chordata; Aves; Psittaciformes; Psittacidae. The record is from RefSeq and is a predicted model, not a curated record.
UUAGGGCCCUUUUCUGGCUAUUUAAAUGAUCAAGAACCUCAGAGGCACCUUGUUUUCUCUGUUAGCAGCACCCACAGUGGAUCUUGGUGGAAUUCAGACUGCAGAAGCUGAAAGCCAGUGAUCCACUUUGGUUCCCCUUUCAUAGCUGGUUAGGAUCUGAGUUACUGCUGAAGUGCAACAGCAAAUGUUCAUCUGUAAACCCACUUUGAAGAAUGUCAGAGUGGGAUUCUCAAGUGCCUAGUACCCAAAGUGUAUAUAAGAAAUCCACACACGUGGAAGAAGCAUCACAAGAACUUUGGGACACCUGUGCUACCUGGAGCUGCAGAUGGAGGCCAGGUGUCCUCAAUGAGCCUGGGUCACUUGUAUGGGUUUUCUUAACAUUUUUUCCCUGUGUAUUUUUAUGGAGGAUGAAGUUGUCUUCCUGUGGGGCCAUAAGGAUUCAUGAACUUGUUAUUGA